Molecule: ribosomal RNA, 486 nt
Filed under: uncultured bacterium
Lineage: Bacteria
Description: partial 16S ribosomal RNA
Rfam family: Bacterial small subunit ribosomal RNA
Source: RNAcentral
AUUGAACGCUGGCGGCAUGCCUUACACAUGCAAGUCGAACGGCAGCACGGGUGCUUGCACCUGGUGGCGAGUGGCGAACGGGUGAGUAAUACAUCGGAACAUGUCCUGUAGUAGGGGAUAGCCCGGCGAAAGCCGGAUUAAUACCGCAUACGAUCUACGGAUGAAAGCGGGGGACCUUCGGGCCUCGCGCUAUAGGGUUGGCCGAUGGCUGAUUAGCUAGUUGGUGGGGUAAAGGCCUACCAAGGCGACGAUCAGUAGCUGGUCUGAGAGGACGACCAGCCACACUGGGACUGAGACACGGCCCAGACUCCUACGGGAGGCAGCAGUGGGGAAUUUUGGACAAUGGGCGAAAGCCUGAUCCAGCAAUGCCGCGUGUGUGAAGAAGACCUUCGGGUUGUAAAGCACUUUUGUCCGGAAAGAAAUCCUUGGCCCUAAUACGGUCGGGGGAUGACGGUACCGGAAGAAUAAGCACCGGCUAACUACGUG